RNAcentral lists this ribosomal RNA (468 nucleotides) under Triticum aestivum (bread wheat). RNAcentral describes it as "partial small subunit ribosomal RNA". Lineage: Eukaryota; Viridiplantae; Streptophyta; Magnoliopsida; Poales; Poaceae. The record is from RNAcentral.
AUGCGUAGCCUGAGCCCCCUGUACUCUCUCCUCCUCCUCCUUACCGGCGUCUUCCAGGCCAACCUCGACGCCUUCCUCUCGUUCCUCCCCGCCGCUGCGUCGGACGCGUCCGGGUUGGCCGAGAACACCACCGGCACAGCGCCCGACGAGGCGUACGGUCUCGCGCACUGCCGCGCCGACGUCAAUGCAUCCGAGUGCCGCUCGUGCCUCGACACCUGGGCAUGGGACGCAGCCAUCAAGUGCCCCGGCCAGAAAAAGUCCACGCUCUUCUACGACGCCUGCCUCCUGCGCCACUCGAACGUGAGCUUCUUCGGCGUCGCCAACAUGUCGUGGCUGACCGGCUUAUGCAACGCGGUGAACGCGACGCAGCCCGAGCUGUUCAAGACGCAGCUAGGCGCGCUGAUGAACAACCUCAGCAACAGGGCGGCGUCGUCCCGCGACUGUUCGCGGCCGACACGGUCGACUUGA